RNAcentral lists this long non-coding RNA (1287 nucleotides) under Lactuca sativa (garden lettuce). RNAcentral's name for it is "long non-coding RNA (LSAT_LNC009857)". Lineage: Eukaryota; Viridiplantae; Streptophyta; Magnoliopsida; Asterales; Asteraceae. The record is from RNAcentral.
AUAAUAGUAACAAACUCGAAACAACUACUUUUGCUUAUAACACUUAUCAAAAUCGAAUGUGAGUAUGUAAUAUUCUUUUGACUGUUAACAUUAAACUACUAUUCAAAAUAAAUAAAUAAACCUUGAGUCCCUUAACACAAAUAUACUUCGUUUAAAAACAUAAAAUUAAUCACAUGUGCCAUGUUGCAUUUUAAUUGACCUUGAAAAACUAGAUGCCCUUUCUCAUUUCCAAAUAGCAUCAACAACACUCAAUGUUAUUCCUUUUUCGUGAUUCUCUUUUGUUUUCUUUGGUUUCAUCAUUGCUCCGGUCCACAAUCUAAAUAAUAACAAUGUUAAAACCAAAACAACAUAGAAAUUAGUACAUUAAAAACUAAAGUUGUUUUUGAAUGAGGAAAAAUGUAAUUUUAGGACAAAUUACAAAUCUUCAACUAAUGAACUCAAUAUUCCAGGAAAAAUGUAACUAGAAACAUAAUUAGGAAACAAUGUAACUUUCAUUUUCAGAAAAAUAAUUAUGAAACAAUGGAACUUUCAUUUCCAGAAAAAUAUAUUUAAUUUACAGGAAAUAAAAAAAUAUAUUAAAUUAAUGAACUCCAUAAAUAAGAAAGAAAUGAGAUUUACCGAAGUAAGAAACAAAAGUCCAUAUUUCAUAAAUUUGAUUUCCACUUUUCCAGAAAUAUGAAUCAUACCUUACAAAAAAUUCCAUCCCUGCUUCUCAAGUCUCCAAAGAAUCUCUCCGACAAUCAAGUCUCCAGAAAUCAAUUAAUUAGCAAGACUGCACGUAGGAAAUCAAAUUAGAUAACAUAUAAAAAUAAAUCAAAGGAAAAAGAGGAUGGGAUAUUGAUUUUUCUAUUUUUUUUUUCUUAUCUUAAAUGCUGGAGCCUAGAUAUUAAAAGCAGCCAUGAGUCUCGUCUUGAGUCUUGACGUCUUGAAUCUUAACAUCUUCUCUACUCCACCAAACCACUAUAUGUGAUGCAUCUGUAGUGAAAUCAAUCGAUGCUCAAGAAUCGAAGUGAUUCUCGUUUAUUGUGCAAGAGUGGCUGGCGUGCAUCCGUCUCUCAAUUCUAGCGCCCACCCUAAGUGGUUGAACUGAUUAAGGAAUUCUAGAGCUUUGGGCCACAUUUAAGUUUGGGCUAAAUUUUAUACAUGCUAAAAGUACCAGGCCUAAAAUGAUGCCCCUUCCCAGCUUGCUGCCCUGGGCCUUUGCCCCACUCGCCCAGGUGUUUGGGCCGGCCUUGCAUGUUACAAGUCCUUAGCCUGCAACUCCCUCAUGCACUGUCUUCUUUACCU